GACGAACGCUGGCGGCGUGCUUAACACAUGCAAGUCGAACGGAAAGGCCCUGCUUUUGUGGGGUGCUCGAGUGGCGAACGGGUGAGUAACACGUGAGUAACCUGCCCUUGACUUUGGGAUAACUUCAGGAAACUGGGGCUAAUACCGGAUAGGAGCUCCUGCUGCAUGGUGGGAGUUGGAAAGUUUCGGCGGUUGGGGAUGGACUCGCGGCUUAUCAGCUUGUUGGUGGGGUAGUGGCUUACCAAGGCUUUGACGGGUAGCCGGCCUGAGAGGGUGACCGGCCACAUUGGGACUGAGAUACGGCCCAGACUCCUACGGGAGGCAGCAGUGGGGAAUAUUGCACAAUGGGCGGAAGCCUGAUGCAGCAACGCCGCGUGCGGGAUGACGGCCUUCGGGUUGUAAACCGCUUUCGCCUGUGACGAAGCGUGAGUGACGGUAAUGGGUAAAGAAGCACCGGCUAACUACGUGCCAGCAGCCGCGGUGAUACGUAGGGUGCGAGCGUUGUCCGGAUUUAUUGGGCGUAAAGGGCUCGUAGGUGGUUGAUCGCGUCGGAAGUGUAAUCUUGGGGCUUAACCCUGAGCGUGCUUUCGAUACGGGUUGACUUGAGGAAGGUAGGGGAGAAUGGAAUUCCUGGUGGAGCGGUGGAAUGCGCAGAUAUCAGGAGGAACACCAGUGGCGAAGGCGGUUCUCUGGGCCUUUCCUGACGCUGAGGAGCGAAAGCGUGGGGAGCGAACAGGCUUAGAUACCCUGGUAGUCCACGCUGUAAACGGUGGGUACUAGGUGUGGGGUCCAUUCCACGUGUUCCGUGCCGUAGCUAACGCUUUAAGUACCCCGCCUGGGGAGUACGGCCGCAAGGCUAAAACUCAAAGGAAUUGACGGGGCCCCGCACAAGCGGCGGAGCAUGCGGAUUAAUUCGAUGCAACGCGUAGAACCUUACCUGGGUUUGACAUGGAUCGGGAGUGCUCAGAGAUGGGUGUGCCUCUUUUGGGGUCGGUUCACAGGUGGUGCAUGGCUGUCGUCAGCUCGUGUCGUGAGAUGUUGGGUUAAGUCCCGCAACGAGCGCAACCCUUGUUCACUGUUGCCAGCACGUUAUGGUGGGGACUCAGUGGAGACCGCCGGGGUCAACUCGGAGGAAGGUGGGGAUGACGUCAAGUCAUCAUGCCCCUUAUGUCCAGGGCUUCACGCAUGCUACAAUGGCUGGUACAGAGAGUGGCGAGCCUGUGAGGGUGAGCGAAUCUCGGAAAGCCGGUCUCAGUUCGGAUUGGGGUCUGCAACUCGACCUCAUGAAGUCGGAGUCGCUAGUAAUCGCAGAUCAGCAACGCUGCGGUGAAUACGUUCCCGGG
RNAcentral lists this ribosomal RNA (1343 nucleotides) under uncultured bacterium. RNAcentral's name for it is "16S ribosomal RNA". It matches the Rfam family "Bacterial small subunit ribosomal RNA", at positions 28 to 1378 of the family's 1533-position model. The record is from RNAcentral.